This 205-nucleotide small nucleolar RNA is filed under the name Castor canadensis (American beaver). Its description in RNAcentral is "Small nucleolar RNA U3 (ENSCCNG00000014663.1)". It matches the Rfam family "Small nucleolar RNA U3". Rfam says of the family: Small nucleolar RNAs (snoRNAs) are involved in the processing and modification of rRNA in the nucleolus. There are two main classes of snoRNAs: the box C/D class, and the box H/ACA class. Lineage: Eukaryota; Metazoa; Chordata; Mammalia; Rodentia; Castoridae. The record is from Rfam by way of RNAcentral.
AAGACUAUACUUUCAGGAAUCAUUUCAUUACUAGAGAAUCCUCUCUGAUCGUGUAGAGUACCAGAAACCAUGAAGAGGAGACAGUGUUCUCUCCUGAGCAUGAAGCCACCUCUUGGUGUUGUUUUAGUGUAACUGUCAAUUGCCAUUGAUUAUUAUUUUUACUCUUCUUCAGGGGAAGAAGAGGGAGAGGAUACAGUCUGGUGGU